This 253-nucleotide ribosomal RNA is filed under the name uncultured bacterium. Its description in RNAcentral is "partial 16S ribosomal RNA". It matches the Rfam family "Bacterial small subunit ribosomal RNA", at positions 524 to 776 of the family's 1533-position model. The record is from RNAcentral.
UACGUAGGGGGCAAGCGUUGUCCGGAAUCAUUGGGCGUAAAGCGCGCGUAGGCGGCCCGGUAAGUCCGCUGUAAAAGUCCAGGGCUCAACCCUGGAAAGCCGGUGGAUACUGUGAGGCUAGAGUACGGAAGAGGCGAGUGGAAUUCCUGGUGUAGCGGUGGAAUGCGCAGAUAUCAGGAGGAACACCAACGGCGAAGGCAGCUCGCUGGGACGGUACUGACGCUGAGGCGCGAAAGCGUGGGGAGCGAACAGG